CUUGAACGCUGGCGGCGUGGUUAAGACAUGCAAGUCGUACGGGUGGAGCAAUCCACCAGUGGCGAACGGGUGAGUAAUGUAUCGCUAACGUGCCCCGAAGUCUGGGAUAGCUGCCCGAAAGGGCAGGUAAUACCGGAUAAGACCACGAGGUCGCAUGACCUUGUGCUCAAAGCCGCAAGGCGCUUUGGGAGCGGGCGAUAUCGUAUCAGCUAGUUGGUGAGGUAACGGCUCACCAAGGCGAUGACGCGUAGCCGGACUGAGAGGUCGACCGGCCACAUCGGGACUGAGACACUGCCCGGACUCCUACGGGGGGCUGCAGUAACGAAUCUUGGGCAAUGCGCGAAAGCGUGACCCAGCGACGCCGCGUGCGGGACGAAGUCCUUCGGGAUGUAAACCGCUGUCAGGGGUUACCAAGUUCUGAGGAACCCCAGAGGAAGUGGCGGCUAACUCUGUGCCAGCAGCCGCGGUAAGACAGAGGCCACAAGCGUUAGGCGGAAUCACUGGGCUUAAAGCGUGUGUAGGCGGAUCGUUAAGUGCCUUGUGAAAUCCCCCGGCUCACCCGGGGAACUGCUGGGCAUACUGGCGAUCUUGAGCCAUCUAGGGGCGACUGGAACAGACGGUGGAGCGGUGAAAUGCGUAGAUAUCGUCUGGAACGCCAAGGGUGAAAACAGGUCGCUGGGGAUGUGCUGACGCUGAGACACGAAAGCCAGGGGAGCAAACGGGAUUAGAUACCCCGGUAGUCCUGGCCCUAAACGAUGUCCACUAGAUCGUGGUCCCUCUGACGGGCUCACGGUCGAAGCCAAAGUGCUAAGUGGACCGCCUGGGAAGUACGGUCGCAAGGCUA
RNAcentral lists this ribosomal RNA (844 nucleotides) under uncultured bacterium. Its description in RNAcentral is "bacterial SSU rRNA". It matches the Rfam family "Bacterial small subunit ribosomal RNA", at positions 28 to 896 of the family's 1533-position model. The record is from RNAcentral.